GGUAUAGUCAAGUGGUUAAGACGUCGGAUUGUGGCUCCGAUAUGCGUGGGUUCGAAUCCCACUACC
This 66-nucleotide transfer RNA is filed under the name bovine gut metagenome. It matches the Rfam family "tRNA". From Rfam's summary of the family: Transfer RNA (tRNA) molecules are approximately 80 nucleotides in length. Their secondary structure includes four short double-helical elements and three loops (D, anti-codon, and T loops). The record is from RNAcentral.